Molecule: ribosomal RNA, 169 nt
Filed under: uncultured eukaryote
Lineage: Eukaryota
Description: partial small subunit ribosomal RNA
Source: RNAcentral
AUGAAACCAUCGCCAAGGGCGUACCGGUGGGCCUGCAGACCGGGGCCUGGUGGCUUCCUUAUUUCCCGGAUGCCUACCGCUUCCACUUCAACAUGCAUAAUCUGGUGGUAUUCGGCAAGAAGGGAGACAGCUAUCUGAUCAGCGAUCCGGUCUUCCCGGAACCGGUGGU